Molecule: small nucleolar RNA, 150 nt
Organism: Arabidopsis thaliana (thale cress)
Lineage: Eukaryota; Viridiplantae; Streptophyta; Magnoliopsida; Brassicales; Brassicaceae
Source: RefSeq
GGGCAAACGCACUCUGUCCCAAGACCAUUAAUUCCAUGUUUUGGUGCAAUUUCUUCGUUUGCUAAAUUGAUCUGUACUCCAAUUUUAAUCAUGUCCUCGGGAUUAUUCUCUGUGAUCCCUAUAUGGGCACAUGAUUGGUUUACUAUACUU